GCACUACUGAGGAGUUUAAUACUAGGACGAAACGAUCGUCCAGUGC
RNAcentral lists this non-coding RNA (46 nucleotides) under Schistosoma margrebowiei. The record is from RNAcentral. Lineage: Eukaryota; Metazoa; Platyhelminthes; Trematoda; Strigeidida; Schistosomatidae.